AGCUGUCACAGAGUUCAUCUUUAUUUACACAAUCUACUGGAAGGACCAGAUUCUUCCCUCGGCGGUGUGUUCAAGGACACUUUGAAAAGUGGACACAGGAUUUUAUCGGCUUCAAUCGGCAGUGAUGGAAAAGUGACACCCGGGUGAAGGCGCCACUUUGGCAAAGGCAGCGAGGACUGUGGGAGGAAACUGGAGAACCCGGAGGAAACCCACGCAGACAAAGGAAAAACAGAGAGACCCAGACUAAACCGGGAUUCGAACCAGGAAGGCGACCA
Hippoglossus stenolepis (Pacific halibut) is the source of this 275-nucleotide long non-coding RNA. RefSeq lists it as uncharacterized. The record is from RefSeq and is a predicted model, not a curated record. NCBI's taxonomy places the organism in Eukaryota, Metazoa, Chordata, Actinopteri, Pleuronectiformes, Pleuronectidae. The transcript has 3 exons.